RNAcentral lists this ribosomal RNA (496 nucleotides) under uncultured bacterium. Its description in RNAcentral is "partial 16S ribosomal RNA". It matches the Rfam family "Bacterial small subunit ribosomal RNA", at positions 28 to 507 of the family's 1533-position model. The record is from RNAcentral.
GAUGAACGCUGGCGGCGUGCCUAAUACAUGCAAGUCGAGCGAACAGAUGAGGAGCUUGCUCCUCUGACGUUAGCGGCGGACGGGUGAGUAACACGUGGAUAACCUACCUAUAAGACUGGGAUAACUUCGGGAAACCGGAGCUAAUACCGGAUAAUAUAUUGAACCGCAUGGUUCAAUAGUGAAAGACGGUUUUGCUGUCACUUAUAGAUGAUCCGCGCCGCAUUAGCUAGUUGGUAAGGUAACGGCUUACCAAGGCAACGAUGCGUAGCCGACCUGAGAGGGUGAUCGGCCACACUGGAACUGAGACACGGUCCAGACUCCUACGGGAGGCAGCAGUAGGGAAUCUUCCGCAAAGGGCGAAAGCCUGACGGAGCAACGCCGCGUGAGUGAUGAAGGUCUUCGGAUCGUAAAACUCUGUUAUUAGGGAAGAACAAAUGUGUAAGUAACUAUGCACGUCUUGACGGUACCUAAUCAGAAAGCCACGGCUAACUACGUG